GAUGAACGCUGGCGGCGUGCCUAAUACAUGCAAGUCGAGCGGACGGACGAGAAGCUUGCUUCUCUGAUGUUAGCGGCGGACGGGUGAGUAACACGUGGAUAACCUACCUAUAAGACUGGGAUAACUUCGGGAAACCGGAGCUAAUACCGUAUAAUAUUUUGAACCGCAUGGUUCAAAAGUGAAAGACGGUCGUGCUGUCACGUAUAGAUGGAUCCGCGCUUCAUUAGCUAGUUGGUAAGGUAACGGCUUACCAAGGCAACGAUGCAUAGCCGACCUGAGAGGGUGAUCGGCCACACUGGAACUGAGACACGGACCAGACUCCUACGGGAGGCAGCAGUAGGGAAUGUUCCGCAAUGGGCGAAAGCCUGACGGAGCAACGCCGCGUGAGUGAUGAAGGUCUUCGGAUCGUAAAACUCUGUUAUUAGGGAAGAACAUAUGUGUAAGUAAAUGUGCACAUAUUGACGGUACCUAAUAAGAAAGCAACGGCUAACUACGUG
Molecule: ribosomal RNA, 497 nt
Filed under: uncultured bacterium
Lineage: Bacteria
Description: partial 16S ribosomal RNA
Rfam family: Bacterial small subunit ribosomal RNA
Source: RNAcentral